RNAcentral lists this ribosomal RNA (374 nucleotides) under uncultured Thermus sp. RNAcentral's name for it is "bacterial SSU rRNA". It matches the Rfam family "Bacterial small subunit ribosomal RNA", at positions 1009 to 1382 of the family's 1533-position model. Lineage: Bacteria; Thermotogati; Deinococcota; Deinococci; Thermales; Thermaceae. The record is from RNAcentral.
GGGGUGCCCCGCGAGGGGAGCCCUAGCACAGGUGCUGCAUGGCCGUCGUCAGCUCGUGCCGUGAGGUGUUGGGUUAAGUCCCGCAACGAGCGCAACCCCGCCGUUAGUUGCCAGCGGUUCGGCCGGGCACUCUAACGGGACUGCCCGCGAAAGCGGGAGGAAGGAGGGGACGACGUCUGGUCAGCAUGGCCCUUACGGCCUGGGCGACACACGUGCUACAAUGCCCACUACAAAGCGAGGCCACCCGGCAACGGGGAGCUAAUCGCAAAAAGGUGGGCCCAGUUCGGAUUGGGGUCUGCAACCCGACCCCAUGAAGCCGGAAUCGCUGGUAAUCGCGGAUCAGCCAUGCCGCGGUGAAUACGUUCCCGGGCCUU